UAAUCGCGGAUCAGAAUGCCGCGGUGAAUACGUUCCCGGGUCUUGUACACACCGCCCGUCACACCAUGGGAGUCCGGAAAUGCCCGAAGUCUGUGACCUAACCGUAAGGAAGGAGCAGCCGAAGGCAGGUCGGAUGACUGGGGUGAAGUCGUAACAAGGUAGC
RNAcentral lists this ribosomal RNA (163 nucleotides) under uncultured bacterium. Its description in RNAcentral is "partial 16S ribosomal RNA". It matches the Rfam family "Bacterial small subunit ribosomal RNA", at positions 1339 to 1500 of the family's 1533-position model. The record is from RNAcentral.